RNAcentral lists this ribosomal RNA (1555 nucleotides) under Lactiplantibacillus plantarum. RNAcentral's name for it is "Lactobacillus plantarum 16S ribosomal RNA". It matches the Rfam family "Bacterial small subunit ribosomal RNA". The record is from RNAcentral. Lineage: Bacteria; Bacillati; Bacillota; Bacilli; Lactobacillales; Lactobacillaceae.
AGAGUUUGAUCCUGGCUCAGGACGAACGCUGGCGGCGUGCCUAAUACAUGCAAGUCGAACGAACUCUGGUAUUGAUUGGUGCUUGCAUCAUGAUUUACAUUUGAGUGAGUGGCGAACUGGUGAGUAACACGUGGGAAACCUGCCCAGAAGCGGGGGAUAACACCUGGAAACAGAUGCUAAUACCGCAUAACAACUUGGACCGCAUGGUCCGAGUUUGAAAGAUGGCUUCGGCUAUCACUUUUGGAUGGUCCCGCGGCGUAUUAGCUAGAUGGUGGGGUAACGGCUCACCAUGGCAAUGAUACGUAGCCGACCUGAGAGGGUAAUCGGCCACAUUGGGACUGAGACACGGCCCAAACUCCUACGGGAGGCAGCAGUAGGGAAUCUUCCACAAUGGACGAAAGUCUGAUGGAGCAACGCCGCGUGAGUGAAGAAGGGUUUCGGCUCGUAAAACUCUGUUGUUAAAGAAGAACAUAUCUGAGAGUAACUGUUCAGGUAUUGACGGUAUUUAACCAGAAAGCCACGGCUAACUACGUGCCAGCAGCCGCGGUAAUACGUAGGUGGCAAGCGUUGUCCGGAUUUAUUGGGCGUAAAGCGAGCGCAGGCGGUUUUUUAAGUCUGAUGUGAAAGCCUUCGGCUCAACCGAAGAAGUGCAUCGGAAACUGGGAAACUUGAGUGCAGAAGAGGACAGUGGAACUCCAUGUGUAGCGGUGAAAUGCGUAGAUAUAUGGAAGAACACCAGUGGCGAAGGCGGCUGUCUGGUCUGUAACUGACGCUGAGGCUCGAAAGUAUGGGUAGCAAACAGGAUUAGAUACCCUGGUAGUCCAUACCGUAAACGAUGAAUGCUAAGUGUUGGAGGGUUUCCGCCCUUCAGUGCUGCAGCUAACGCAUUAAGCAUUCCGCCUGGGGAGUACGGCCGCAAGGCUGAAACUCAAAGGAAUUGACGGGGGCCCGCACAAGCGGUGGAGCAUGUGGUUUAAUUCGAAGCUACGCGAAGAACCUUACCAGGUCUUGACAUACUAUGCAAAUCUAAGAGAUUAGACGUUCCCUUCGGGGACAUGGAUACAGGUGGUGCAUGGUUGUCGUCAGCUCGUGUCGUGAGAUGUUGGGUUAAGUCCCGCAACGAGCGCAACCCUUAUUAUCAGUUGCCAGCAUUAAGUUGGGCACUCUGGUGAGACUGCCGGUGACAAACCGGAGGAAGGUGGGGAUGACGUCAAAUCAUCAUGCCCCUUAUGACCUGGGCUACACACGUGCUACAAUGGAUGGUACAACGAGUUGCGAACUCGCGAGAGUAAGCUAAUCUCUUAAAGCCAUUCUCAGUUCGGAUUGUAGGCUGCAACUCGCCUACAUGAAGUCGGAAUCGCUAGUAAUCGCGGAUCAGCAUGCCGCGGUGAAUACGUUCCCGGGCCUUGUACACACCGCCCGUCACACCAUGAGAGUUUGUAACACCCAAAGUCGGUGGGGUAACCUUUUAGGAACUAGCCGCCUAAGGUGGGACAGAUGAUUAGGGUGAAGUCGUAACAAGGUAGCCGUAGGAGAACCUGCGGCUGGAUCACCU